UCAAGCUAAUAAGGGCUAACGGUGGAUACCUAGGCACACGGAAGCGAAGAAGGACGUAGUUACCGACGAAACGCUUCGGGGAGCGGGAAGCAAGCAUUGAUCCGAAGAUAUCCGAAUGGGGCAACCCUAAACACGACCACCUGAAUACAUAGGGUGGAGCGAGCCAACCUGGUGAACUGAAACAUCUUAGUAGCCAGAGGAAAAGAAAGCAACAGCGAUUCCCCCAGUAGCGGCGAGCGAAAAGGGAACAGCCUAAACCAAGUUCUGCGGAACUUGGGGUCGUGGGACAGUAACAAAAGACUGGGAAAUUUAGACGAAGCGGCUGAAAACCGCACCAGAGAAGGUGAAAGUCCUGUAGUCGAAAAAGGCACCAGCUUAACUGCAUCCCGAGUAGCAUGGGGCACGUGAAAUCCCGUGUGAAUCUGCCUCGACCACGAGGUAAGGCUAAAUAUUCCCGUGUGACCGAUAGAGAAACAGUACCGCGAGGGAAAGGUGAAAAGAACCCCGGAAGGGGAGUGAAAUAGAACAUGAAACCGUUAGCCUACAAGCAAUGGGAGGACGAUUGAACGUCUGACCGUGUGCCUGUUGAAGAAUGAGCCGGCGACUUACAGGUUAUGGCAGGUGAAGGGGGAAGACCCCACAGCCCCAGCGAAAGCGAGUCUGAAGAGGGCGAAAAGUCAUAAUUUGUAGACCCGAACCCGGGUGAUCUAACCAUGGCCAGGAUGAAGCUUGGGUAAAACCAAGUGGAGGUCCGAACCGACUAAUGUUGAAAAAUUAGCGGAUGAGCUGUGGUUAGGGGUGAAAUGCCAAUCGAACUCGGAGCUAGCUGGUUCUCCCCGAAAUGUGUUGAGGCGCAGCGGUAGUGGAAGUUUAGUCGGGGUAAAGCACUGUUUCGCCGCGGGCUGGGAGACCGGUACCAAGGCGAGGCAAACUCUGAAUACGGCUAAAAAAACUACCAGUGAGACGGUGGGGGAUAAGCUUCAUCGUCAAGAGGGAAACAGCCCAGACCACCAGCUAAGGUCCCCAAAUGAUAACUAAGUGAGAAAGGAGGUGGGAGUGCAUGGACAACCAGGAGGUUUGCCUAGAAGCAGCAAUCCUUAAAAGAGUGCGUAAUAGCUCACUGGUCAAGCGCUCCUGCGCCGAAAAUGAACGGGGCUAAGUUAUCUACCGAAGCUGUGGACUACAUUGUAGUGGUAGGGGAGCGUUCUAUAGGGGGUGAAGCAGUAGCGGCAAGCAGCUGUGGACUCUAUAGAAGUGAGAAUGUCGGCUUAAGUAGCGAAAAUGUGGGUGAGAAUCCCACACCCCGAAACCCCAAGGUUUCCUCCGCAAGGCUCGUCCGCGGAGGGUCAGUCAGGACCUAAGGCGAGGCUGAAAAGCGUAGUCGAUGGACAACGGGUUAACAUUCCCGUACCGAUUAAUGAUUGUGCCGGAGAACGGAGAAGGUCAACGUCAGCUGGAUGUUGGUUACCAGUGCAAGCAGUCGAGGCGAUGAGAGGUGGAGAAAACACCAGGAGCUAAGACGCGAGUCCCACCUCCUACGGGAGGGAAGUGGCGUUGAUCAAGCUUCCUAGAAAAGCCCGAACCACGUUAAUCAUUAAUUGCCUGUACCCGAAACCGACACAGGUGGGGAAGUAGAGAAUACUAAGGGGCGCGAGAUAACUCUCUCUAAGGAACUCGGCAAAAUGACCCCGUAACUUCGGGAGAAGGGGUACCCUCGCGAGAGGGUCGCAGUGAAUAGGCCCAGGCGACUGUUUACCAAAAACACAGGUCUCCGCCAAGUCGUAAGACGCAGUAUGGGGGCUGACGCCUGCCCAGUGCCGGAAGGUUAAGGAAGUUGGUCAGGAGUAAUCUGAAGCUGACGACCGAAGCCCCGGUGAACGGCGGCCGUAACUAUAACGGUCCUAAGGUAGCGAAAUUCCUUGUCGGGUAAGUUCCGACCCGCACGAAAGGCGUAACGAUCUGGGCACUGUCUCGGAGAGAGACUCGGCGAAAUAGGAUUGUCUGUGAAGAUACGGACUACCUGCACCUGGACAGAAAGACCCUAUGAAGCUUUACUGUAGCCUGGAAUUGGCUUCGGGCUUCGCUUGCGCAGGAUAGGUGGGAAGCGUUGAAACUCUCCUCGUGGGGAGAGUGGAGCUAACGGUGAGAUACCACUCUGGCGAGGCUAGAAUUCUAACCCUGACCCCUAAUCGGGGCGGGAGACAGUUUCAGGUGGGCAGUUUGACUGGGGCGGUCGCCUCCUAAAAGGUAACGGAGGCGCGCAAAGGUUCCCUCGGUCCCGUUGGAAAUGGGACGAUAGAGUGCAAAAGCAGAAGGGAGCUUGACUGUGAGACCCACAAGUCGAACAGGGACGAAAGUCGGCUUUAGUGAUCCGACGGCACCGCGUGGAAGGGCCGUCGCUCAACGGAUAAAAGUUACUCUAGGGAUAACAGGCUGAUCUCCCCCAAGAGUUCACAUCGACGGGGAGGUUUGGCACCUCGAUGUCGGCUCAUCGCAACCUGGGGCUGAAGUCGGUCCCAAGGGUUGGGCUGUUCGCCCAUUAAAGCGGUACGUGAGCUGGGUUCAGAACGUCGUGAGACAGUUCGGUCCAUAUCCGGUGUAGGCGUAAGAGCAUUGCGAGGAGCCUUCCUUAGUACGAGAGGACCGGGAAGGACGCACCGCUGGUGUACCUGUUAUCGUGCCAACGGUAAACGCAGGGUAGCCAUGUGCGGAGCGGAUAACCGCUGAAAGCAUCUAAGUGGGAAGCCCACCUCCAGAUGAUUGCUCUCAUGGCAUUAAGCCAGUAAGGUCUCGGGUAGACUACCCGUUGAUAGGCUCUAGAUGGAAGCUCGGUAACGAGUGCAGUCGAGGAGUACUAACCGACCGAGGGCUUGACC
RNAcentral lists this ribosomal RNA (2876 nucleotides) under Microcystis aeruginosa. RNAcentral describes it as "partial 23S rRNA". It matches the Rfam family "Bacterial large subunit ribosomal RNA". Lineage: Bacteria; Bacillati; Cyanobacteriota; Cyanophyceae; Chroococcales; Microcystaceae. The record is from RNAcentral.